UAGGCAUCCAGUACGUAUAAUGUUGAAUAAAUAACUGAAAAUGAAGUCAAGUAGUUGGUAUGUGAAAAUACCACAGAUAUGAAGAUGUUCGUCACAGCAUUAUUUAUAAUAGUGAAAAAGUGUUUUUUACAGUCUGGUUAAGAAAUCUGUGGCAUUGACAACAAUGAAAUGGAUGCUACUAUUAGAAUUAACAUGAGGACUAAAAAAUCAUGAAAAAGCGUUUAUGGAGUAUAGAGGAAAAGGAUACAGAUGAAAUUUAAUAACACUGUCAUUAAAACAACAUAAACAGGUAAGUCUAUAUAGUUUAAGAUUGGAAGGCGCAUUUAGAAAUAAAGUUAUUAUUGUACAAAAUUAGUGGGCUUAUGAGCAAUUAGGAAAGACUUUUGAUAAUGUUUUACAGUGGAUUCUAGAAUAUUUCACAACUCUUUUUAAAGAAAGCCCUGCAGUACUUUCUAAACAGACGAGCCAGCUGUUUGCUGUUUUCCAGGGUCUGGUUGCUGAGCCGUGAAAGGCCUCAUGGAGAGGGGGCUUCUGAAAAUUUCCGUCUCCCCGCCUCCAGGUGCCCAGCAGUCCAGCCCUGACCAAGUUAUUCUUGGCAAACGCGAGCCGUCUCAGCGUCCUCGGGGCACGGAGCCUCCGGCCACUGAGGUGCUAUAAUCUGUGCUGGUGCAACUCUGUCCACAGCGGGCAUUUGACAGAGAGCUUUUCAGCCUUUUAUUUCCAGAACUCCUUGGAUGGUGACCUGCGCAUCCCGGGAGAAACUUUGUUAACGACUUAUGUGCACCUGGUUUGGGUCAGAAUUAAACAGCCACGCUGAACACCGUGCCCUUGUGGAAUGACAAAUUGAUAUGCUUAAAAGAUGCCUGUGGACAACUGGUUGAGAUCCUGAUCGAGGUUCGUCGUUCUUUACAACGAGACGAAGGCAUGGACUCGGAUGGUUCAACCAUCUAGUGAGCUUUGUCUGUUCUAUUUAUAAUGAGAGUGUAACAGUACUAACGUAUUUCAUUGAGUCCAAGAUACAGCCCCUCCCGCAGACACACACAUUCUUAGCAGCUGUGUAAUUCGGAUGUGUCUUAUGCUCAGUGUCUUAUUGUCAUUGACACAAGGUCAUGACAGGGUUGUCAUCGCCUGACACCUUCUGUCAGAAUCACAGCGCAGCACCCUUGAAAGAAAUGCUUCCUCGUCAAUGCUGUUGAUGGCCUAGGGGUGACUUUGUGUUGAAAAAUAUGAACACUGACAACACUGAGUUGAAAAUCACUAAGAAGAUUUGGACUCUGUGAAGAAAUUUUAAGAAUAGCUUAACCAAUUUUUUUCACUUAUAUUUUCCUCUUUAGAUGUGCCCAAGGGUGACAUGAUCUGUCUAAAUAAGUGGCUAAGUACUUUCGAUAAGUCUAAAAUAAAAAUGUUAAGAGAGAAGAAAGCAUUGAAUCAUAGUCGAAUGGGCACCAUUUUUUUCUGAGUGGUGCAUCAAACACCGGUGCUUCCUACAACUGAGGGCAUCUUACGUGCAGUGAGAUGCAGUGACAGCUAGAGUAACACCGAUAGCACUUCCUGCCUGCCAGGCAUUAACACUUCAUGCACAUUAACUCAUUCAAAUCCUCGUAAUUGUUAGCCCCAUUUUACAGAUAAGGAAACUGAGGCACUUGGAAGAUAAAGUCACACAGCCAGAGAUUGGUAGAGGUGGGUGGGGUUCCAAGGCCAGCAGUCAGCUCCAGGGUCCAGGCUCAGACACAUUACUACAGGAUCUUACUUAGAAGCGUGUAAACUGGCCAUGUGUCAGAUGAAACUGGUGAGGAAUUUUUAACCAGAUUUGUAUUUUAUGGAGCAUAGUAAUAAUUAGGAAGAAGAUGUUCAAACACUUUGGAAAGACAAGGUCAAUUCUGUGACAGGCAAAGGGCCGCAGAGGUGGGCGACAUCAAGGUUAUUUCUCAUCCUGAACUCCCCCCGGCAGGCCCUACCUCAUUUUACCAGGAGCACCUCACAUCAGAAAGUUUCUCGUGGCUUCUCAUUGCAUUCAGUGGAGCAUUGAAAAGAGUAGAAAUAAAAGUCCUUUGGCUACAGUCUUUUUCCUAGCUUCACACUGAAAUGGGGAGUCCCUUUAAUGAUGAUUUUUAUAAAGAUGCUGCUGCCUUUGUCAGGAGAUGAGGCAGUCCCAGUGUUCAGGGAGUGAAUUAUGGUCAAAUUAAUACUCUUCAAGAAGGAUUAAGUAGACAUUGGGACAAAGGAUAAAAAUGUAGAUUCAGUUUGACCUAAUGGCAAAACCUACCUCCCAAAUUUCCCUUUUCAGUCGAUUUUUUUUUGUCUGAGUUAGUGCAAAUUUUAUUUUAUUGCCGUUACCGCACUUGUCGAGAUUGAUACGAUGACAAUGCAAUUUGAGAUACGAGUGAGUGGAGUUGAUCAUGGAGACUGAAUCUGUGGAGAAUUAGUUCAUUUACAAGUGACAGCAUGUACAUUUGGUGAUGAAACAGGAACGAAAGAAUCAAUCAUCUUUGUUCGUGGAAAAUUUCCCUUGAAACUGUUUUUCAAGGCAACAACAACAAAAAGAGACUAGACCAGAGACCCUUAAAGCCCCCUGUCUGACUCAAGCUUCUUGUUCUCUCAGCAAGAGGAAAUUUAGGAAAACCAGGCUGACCUGAUCCGCUUCAGACCAGACCCUCAAACCCCCAGGGUUGAGCACUCGUUUUCAUCUGCUCUGAGGAUGCUGAUGUGGAAAAGUUCAAGAAGCUCCACGUUACAAAGAACCCCUUGAGUCCCACGGCCAUUUGUCAUUAAGCAGAAAAAUACACCCCUGUGUAUUUUUCUUCCUUGUUCCUUGUGUCCUGGGCUGCCUUCCAUUGCCGUCCAUCCAGGACCACAUCUGCCCAUGGGUGGGCAGAACCUUCGGGGCUGAGGGCUCCCUUAGCAGAAUGUUCCCUGUAGUUUUAGCCCAGGAGGCCCGUGUCAUGUGGUUUUCAAGGCCAAAUUAGAGACCACCCUAGAAUAUUGAGGCCAAAAUGGAAGCUUUUCCCCUGCUCCGUCCCAUCUGGGUUUUGGUGUGGAAGGGAGUUAGAGCUGUGAUGGGCUCCAUUUGGGAGCCCAGUGAAAUAAGAGCACUUUGAAAAACCAACAGGGUCCACACCUAAGCUAUAUAGAGAAUGGAAUCUUUGCGAAUCUUUGAAUAAAGUUUUCCCUACUGUAUUAGGCUUUUGAAAAAAUAGAAGAAGUUUGCAAGCAUUUUAAUAUUCAUUCAUUCAUUCAACAAUAUUUUUGAGCCACUCUAGGCAUGGGGAAUACAGUAGCAAGUAAAAUAAAUAAAAACCUCUGUCCUCAUGGAGCUCACAUGCUAAAGUGGGGAGAGAGAGAAUUUUUUAAUGAUUAAAAUGUCUAGAAUAUCUGAUAGUGAUCAGUGCUGUAAAGAAAAAUAAGGGAAGCGGGAUGGGACUAUGUGUGUGUUAAUGGGUCGGUUGAGAUAUUAAGUAGGAUGAUCAAAUACCACCACACAAGUGAUGUUUGAGUAAACGAAUGAAGGAUUUGGAUCUGUUGUUUUGAAGGUACAGCCUGUUGGGUUGCCUGAUGGAUUGGAUAUAGGGUGCGAGAGAGGGAGAGAAAUUGGGGAUGAUUCCAAGUUCUGAAAGGCGUCUUAUGACAUGGCUCCCAAUGAUCCCACCACCUGAUAUUCCUGUCUGUGUAGUUCCCUUCCUCUUGAGUCUGGGCUGGACCCAGUAACUUGAUUCUAAUGACUAGAGUAUGGCAAAGUUGAUGGGAUGUCACUUCUGUGAUUAGGUUACAAAAGAUUGUAACUUCCUCUCGCUAGCAGAUUCUCUCUAUUGUCCUCUCAGCUUGCACGCUUCAGUGAAGCAAGGUGCCUUAUUGGAGAGGUCCACACGGCAAGGAUCUGAGGGCAGCGCCUGGCCAACAGCCAACAAGGACAGAAGCCCUCAGUUCAACAACCCAUGAAGAACCAAAUCCUGCCAACAACCACAUGGGCUUGGAGAGGGUCCUUCCCCACUUGAGCUUUGAGAUGAGAUUGCAGCCCCCCGACAUUGUGAUUGCCACCUAUGAGAGACCCUGCAGCAGAGGGCUCCUCUAAGCCAUGUCCAGAUUCCUCACCUAUAGAAACUGGGAGAUAUACAUAGUAUUUUAAGCUGUGAAGUUUGGGAAUAGUAGGUUAUGCAGCAAUAUAUAACUAACAUACAAGAUUUUGGGUCUGGGCAACUGGAAGAAUAAAAUUGCCGCUUAUCAUAUCAUAAGACGAGUGUAGAUAGAAGGAUUUUUUGGUGAGAGAAUAGCAACUUUGGUUUUGCAUAUGUACAAUACACGCAUAUUUCUAUUUCUGUGAUAGUGUUUCUCAUGAAUUUUUCAAAUGGUGGUUAAGCUACCAAUAUAUUCGAUUUAAAUGCUCUCUCAUGAACCACUUUGAAAAAUGUUAAUUAAUGCAUCUUCAGAAAUCAGAUUCUAUAAUAACUUCAG
This 4449-nucleotide long non-coding RNA is filed under the name Equus caballus (horse). RNAcentral's name for it is "lncRNA (ENSECAG00000048764.1)". The record is from RNAcentral. Lineage: Eukaryota; Metazoa; Chordata; Mammalia; Perissodactyla; Equidae.